CAGGGCCUUUUUUAAGGAUUUUCCCGUGGGGGGGCAUUUUUUGAAAAGGGACCUUUCUGUGAGAUAAUAUAUUAGAGGGGGAUAGCAAUGGCUGAAAGCCACAUGUGUGGAAAAUAUACCACGCAUGGAUGGGGGGUCUGGGGUUGUACUCCCCCAGAAAAUUUUUGAAAUUUGACUCCCGUAAAAGUCAUUUCCUGCAUUCUGAGCAUCCAAAUUUGCUCCAAAAGUUAUCCUAACUAUACUUGUAUUUGAAAUAAAUAAAGGAAGAAACACACAAAAAGUAAAAAAAAAUUAACCAUCAUUUAUCAUUACUUAUUAGAGGAUAGCAAUGGUCAGGUGUGUGGGGGUGUACUCCCCCAGAAAAUUUUUGAAAUUUGAACCACGGAAAUGCCAUUUCCUGCAUUCUGAGCAUCCAAAUUUGCUCUAAAAUUUAUGCUAACUAUACUUGUAUUUGAAAUAAAAGAUGGAAAAAUGCACAAAAAGUAAAAAAGAAUAUUAACUGUAAUUUAUCAUUACUUAUUAGAUAGAUAAUCCCAAGAAAAUUUUUGAAAUUUGAAACCGUGAAAUGCUAUUUUCUGCAUUCUGAGCAUCAAAAAAUAUAUAUAUAUAUAUAUAUAUAUAUAUAUAUAUAUUAACAAUAAUUUAUCAUGGCUUAGUGGUAAAAAAAGUAACAAUUUAAAUCGAUUUUGUUAAACAAGAACAAAGGAUAAAGCCUAAAACUUACUUUCCGUUUAUCUAUUUGUUAAUCUUCGCUGGAUUGUUUGUAUAAUUUUAGGAAAAAGGGACUUUUCC
Molecule: long non-coding RNA, 792 nt
Filed under: Paramuricea clavata
Lineage: Eukaryota; Metazoa; Cnidaria; Anthozoa; Malacalcyonacea; Plexauridae
Source: RNAcentral